RNAcentral lists this unclassified non-coding RNA (485 nucleotides) under Phytophthora citricola. Its description in RNAcentral is "partial ITS2". The stretch from base 1 to 79 matches the Rfam family "5.8S ribosomal RNA", at positions 77 to 154 of the family's 154-position model. Lineage: Eukaryota; Oomycota; Peronosporomycetes; Peronosporales; Peronosporaceae. The record is from RNAcentral.
GGAUUCAGUGAGUCAUCGAAAUUUUGAACGCAUAUUGCACUUCCGGGUUAGUCCUGGGAGUAUGCCUGUAUCAGUGUCCGUACAUCAAACUUGGCUUUCUUCCUUCCGUGUAGUCGGUGGAGGAUGUGCCAGAUGUGAAGUGUCUUGCGGGUGUCCUUCGGGUCGUCUGCGAGUCCUUUGAAAUGUACUGAACUGUACUUCUCUUUGCUCGAAAAGCGUGGUGUUGCUGGUUGUGGAGGCUGCCUGCGUGGCCAGUCGGCGACCGGUUUGUCUGCUGCAGCGUUUAAUGGAGGAGUGUUCGAUUCGCGGUAUGGUUGGCUUCGGCUGAACAGGCGCUUAUUGUAUGCUUUUCCUGCUGUGGCGUGAUGGGCUGGUGAACCGUAGCUAUGUGUGGCUUGGCUUUUGAAUCGGCUUUGCUGUUGCGAAGUAGAGUGGCGGCUUCGGCUGUCGAGGGUCGAUCCAUUUGGGAACUUUGUGNACCUCGG